Molecule: ribosomal RNA, 484 nt
Filed under: uncultured bacterium
Lineage: Bacteria
Description: partial 16S ribosomal RNA
Rfam family: Bacterial small subunit ribosomal RNA
Source: RNAcentral
AUUGAACGCUGGCGGCAGGCCUAACACAUGCAAGUCGAGCGGAUGAAGGGAGCUUGCUCCUGGAUUCAGCGGCGGACGGGUGAGUAAUGCCUAGGAAUCUGCCUGGUAGUGGGGGAUAACGUCCGGAAACGGGCGCUAAUACCGCAUACGUCCUGAGGGAGAAAGCGGGGGACCUUCGGACCUUACGCUAUCAGAUGAGCCUAGGUCGGAUUAGCUAGUUGGUGGGGUAAAGGCCUACCAAGGCGACGAUCCGUAACUGGUCUGAGAGGAUGAUCAGUCACACUGGAACUGAGACACGGUCCAGACUCCUACGGGAGGCAGCAGUGGGGAAUAUUGGACAAUGGGCGAAAGCCUGAUCCAGCCAUGCCGCGUGUGUGAAGAAGGUCUUCGGAUUGUAAAGCACUUUAAGUUGGGAGGAAGGGCAGUAGGUUAAUACCUUGCUGUUUUGACGUUACCAACAGAAUAAGCACCGGCUAACUUCGUG